UACGUAGGUGGCGAGCGUUGUCCGGAUUUACUGGGCGUAAAGAGCGCGCAGGCGGUCGUUCAAGUCGCGUGUGAAAGCCCCCGGCUCAACUGGGGAGGGUCACGCGAUACUGAUCGACUCGAAGGCAGGAGAGGGAAGUGGAAUUCCAGGUGUAGCGGUGAAAUGCGUAGAUAUCUGGAGGAACACCGGUGGCGAAGGCGGCAUCCUGGACCAAUACUGACGCUGAGGAGCGAAAGCCAGGGGAGCAAACGGG
Molecule: ribosomal RNA, 253 nt
Filed under: uncultured bacterium
Lineage: Bacteria
Description: partial 16S ribosomal RNA
Rfam family: Bacterial small subunit ribosomal RNA
Source: RNAcentral